GACGAACGCUGGCGGCGCGCUUAACGCAUGCAAGUCGAGCGAGAACCGGUCCUUCGGGACCGGGGAAAGCGGCGAACGGGUGAGUAACACGUGGGUAAUCUGCCCUCGGUUUCGGGAUAGCCCGGGGAAACCCGGAUUAAUACCGAAUGGCCCUUUCGGUCGUCGGAUUGAAAGGAAAAGGUAGCUUCGGCCUCCGACCGAGGAUGAGCCCGCGGCGGAUUAGCUUGUUGGUGGGGUAACGGCCUACCAAGGCGACGAUCCGUAGCUGGUCUGAGAGGACGAUCAGCCACACUGGGACUGAGACACGGCCCAGACUCCCACGGGAGGCAGCAGUGGGGAAUCUUGCGCAAUGGGCGAAAGCCUGACGCAGCGACGCCGCGUGCGGGAAGAAGGCCUUCGGGUUGUAAACCGCUUUCAGGUGGGACGAAGCCACUCGGGUGAAUAGCCCAGAGGGUGACGGUACCUCCAGAAGAAGUCCCGGCUAACUACGUGCCAGCCGCCGCGGUAA
This 508-nucleotide ribosomal RNA is filed under the name uncultured bacterium. Its description in RNAcentral is "partial 16S ribosomal RNA". It matches the Rfam family "Bacterial small subunit ribosomal RNA", at positions 28 to 523 of the family's 1533-position model. The record is from RNAcentral.